Molecule: RNA transcript, 1347 nt
Organism: Magnolia sinica
Lineage: Eukaryota; Viridiplantae; Streptophyta; Magnoliopsida; Magnoliales; Magnoliaceae
Gene name: stromal processing peptidase, chloroplastic-like
Exons: 10
Source: RefSeq, a predicted model, not a curated record
UGGAACUUGGAAACUCAAAGCAGAGCUCUCUCUCAAAAUCCCUAAGCUCCGAAAGGAAAACAGUGUGAAAUCGCGUUUUACUUCUGCAAUUCUAUCUGUCAAAAUCCCCGAGCUCUGAAAGGAAAACAGAUCGAAAUCGCAUUUAACUUCUGCAAUUCGAUCCUUUACAAUACCUAGAAACGUCAAUUUUGUCCUCUACACAAGCAAUCUCUUCGCCGAUUUCAGGUAAUAUUGGAGAGGGUAGAGCAUUUUGCACAGUCAGUUUCUGUAUACGAAGAUCAAACAUUUCAAAAAAGAGCUCGUAUUCAGCAGUGAUUUUAUUGUGAGUAGGCGACUCAUGAGCACCUACAAUGACUGGUAUUCCAAAUUCCGAACUCAACCUGCUGCAGUCAGCAUUUUGGAUAUUUUUGUUGAAUAUGGGAAUGAGGGAAGCAUUGUACUGCUCCAAGCCUGCUUAGAUCAAGUGAAAUUUCAAAGCGAAGACUUUCAGUCAAAGCCAGAUCUUCUAUCAGCUAUCUUUAGAUACUUUUUGGGUAGACCAAAUUUUGCCACAGUUUUCUGUGAAGCACUGAGAAGUAAAGUGAUGAGUGAAGGAUUUCUAGAAGGUCUCUCCAAGCAAUUGCAUUUGUCUACACCCGAGAAAAUUGCUGUUGGUCUUGCUCUGUCAGAUUCAGGAAAUACGGAUUUCAGAAUUAGAGAUGAACAAUCUAAUUCUGCAGAAUUGCUUUCCUUGGAAACAGAAGAUGUAGAGAAAAGACAUCAAAGAAAUAUUCAAGAUCAUCCACUAUUCUUUGGAAUCACAUUGGGGCUGUUGGCUGAGAUAAUAAAUUCAAGGCUCUUCACUACAGUCCGGGAUUCUUUAGGAUUAACAUAUGAUGUAUCCUUUGAGCUAAGCCUGUUUGAUAGGCUGAAACUCAGGUGGUAUGUGGUCUCAGUAACUUCAACUCCUGGCAAGGUCUAUAAAGCUGUUGAUGCAUGUAAGAAUGUUCUGAGAGGUUUGCAUGACAGCAAGAUUGCCCAAAGGGAGCUGGAUCGGCGAUCACAACGGCCAUCACAAUUGCAGAGAUUCUGAAGAAAAAAGGGCUGGCUAUUGAGAAGAGGAUUUUGAUGUCUAUAGUUGACACGAAGGAUGAAUCCAAGGGCCAUCUCAUUCCAAAAGCGAAGAUGGAGGUAUUGCUGGGGAAGACUAAGAAAUUCGAUGAUCUGAUGGUUGCCGUUGCUGCCAAAGGGAGGCAGUUGGAGACAAUAAAGCAUGAUGGCAAACCAUAGCUCUGGAGUUCCAUCAUAUUCUGAUUUUCAUUUCUUUUUUCCUCCUGGUGUCCUGUUUAAGUGAUAGAGGUUAGGGAA